AAGGGAGGCAAAUCUCUGAUAGCUAUUGUAGUCUUGCUCUCGAUGCCAUAUCAGAUUGACUAUGCAUACGCGGGAAGACACCUAGCGGACUGUAGACCUUCCUUUCUAUCGGCUGGAUCUUCAGCAGCAGAAGACAGUGCUGCUUCCAGCCUCACCUCGUUCCGCUGGUGUUUGUUUUACCGUUGCCCCACCCUGCCUACCCAGAGCAAGUAGCAGAAGCAAUAAUGGCUUACAUCUCUCAG
Triticum urartu is the source of this 242-nucleotide non-coding RNA. The record is from RefSeq and is a predicted model, not a curated record. NCBI's taxonomy places the organism in Eukaryota, Viridiplantae, Streptophyta, Magnoliopsida, Poales, Poaceae.